GCUAACAGGCAGCUUGCAAAACACUGACGAAUGAACAUGUUAGGCAAGAGUGAAAUGAACGGUUUUGACAAGGACUGAGUAGCAGUGAGGGUCUGCGUGCUGCAGUGCGAACGCCGCAGGAGUCGGACCCACCCCAAUUUUUAAUUACUGCCGUGAUGCAACCCGCAGCUCCCAGGACUGCAGCUCGUCACAGGGAGGACCAACUGCCUUGAGCCCGGUGUGCAGGAGGGAAGAUGGUUUUCCAUGACAGCAAGGCCAGAAGAACUACAGAAACUCUCUCCUCCUAAGCAGCUCACCAGUAACACUGAACAGUCCCAGAAGAGGGAAGCCAGCACGGGGCACCACCUAACGGCCACUGGAUCCCCGGCUUUGCUUCCCUGCAGUUUCCUCCCAGCUGAAAUUACAGCUAGCAGAGAAGAAAUCCAACCGUUCAACUGAGCUACCAGUUACUAAUCCUGAAAUUCGGCAGGACUGAUCAGGGCACCUGACAUUCCACAUCCAUGCACACCCACACGCUCUGAACGCAGGACUGAUCUGCAGGAAGAAAACGAAGCUCCCUGAGCCACGGGACCCUGAUGGCAACGGGCACAAGCAGGGACGGCUCUGGCCCCAGGGGCAGGGCUAGCACAGCAGCCUGAGAGCCGGAGGCCCGUGAUCCGAUAGCACUCUGUCCUAAACACUUUCUGCUUUUGUGGUUGGGCACCUGCAACACCAUGAGCAGCACAGGUCAGAACCCCCUAAUCGUUAGGAUUGUUCACAGAAUCUGUGAUGUCCCCUGAA
Molecule: long non-coding RNA, 780 nt
Organism: Lonchura striata (white-rumped munia)
Lineage: Eukaryota; Metazoa; Chordata; Aves; Passeriformes; Estrildidae
Source: RefSeq, a predicted model, not a curated record